AUGCAGUCGAGCGGUUGAGGGAGCUUGCUCCCUGAUUCAGCGGCGGACGGGUGAGUAAUGCCUAUGAAUCUGCCUAUUAGUGGGGGACAACGUUUCGAAAGGAACGCUAAUACCGCAUACGUCCUACGGGAGAAAGCAGGGGACCUUCGGGCCUUGCGCUAAUAGAUGAGCCUAGGUCGGAUUAGCUUGUUGGUGAGGUAAUGGCUCACCAAGGCGACGAUCCGUAACUGGUCUGAGAGGAUGAUCAGUCACACUGGAACUGAGACACGGUCCAGACUCCUACGGGAGGCAGCAGUGGGGAAUAUUGGACAAUGGGCGAAAGCCUGAUCCAGCCAUGCCGCGUGUGUGAAGAAGGUCUUCGGAUUGUAAAGCACUUUAAGUUGGGAGGAAGGGUUGUAGAUUAAUACUCUGCAAUUUUGACGUUACCGACAGAAUAAGCACCGGCUAACUCUGUGCCAGCAGCCGCGGUAAUACAGAGGGUGCAAGCGUUAAUCGGAAUUACUGGGCGUAAAGCGCGCGUAGGUGGUUUGUUAAGUUGGAUGUGAAAGCCCCGGGCUCAACCUGGGAACUGCAUCCAAAACUGGCAAGCUAGAGUACGGUAGAGGGUGGUGGAAUUUCCUGUGUAGCGGUGAAAUGCGUAGAUAUAGGAA
Molecule: ribosomal RNA, 650 nt
Filed under: Phytopseudomonas punonensis
Lineage: Bacteria; Pseudomonadati; Pseudomonadota; Gammaproteobacteria; Pseudomonadales; Pseudomonadaceae
Description: bacterial SSU rRNA
Rfam family: Bacterial small subunit ribosomal RNA
Source: RNAcentral